Long non-coding RNA from Rhipicephalus sanguineus (brown dog tick), 694 nucleotides. RefSeq lists it as uncharacterized. The record is from RefSeq and is a predicted model, not a curated record. NCBI's taxonomy places the organism in Eukaryota, Metazoa, Arthropoda, Arachnida, Ixodida, Ixodidae. The transcript is spliced from 2 exons.
CUUGUGAAGCUCCCAAAAUUUGGCAACUGCCAGGUACAGAUUAGUGAAGAGCCACGCCUUUUGAGCCUCUCUGACCUAACGUCAGCAUUUCAGGAAUCUGCUCCUCUAGAGUCGCGUCUGGAGGGACUGAAACAGAAACUAGACGGCUUAGUGGAAGAAGAAGCUGAGUGUGAGAAUGUCUUUUCGGAUAUAUCCUCGUCAGAUAGUGUUACCGACUGUAUAAUUUAUUAUAACACCAGUUGUCAACAAUGUCGCAAUGGCUUGGCAGCUACAAGUAAUGCAGCGUCGAAGCCUGAAGCUGCAUUAGUAGCCUGCAAGACGCGAGGGGGACUGGUACACCCGAACACUUGCCUGUUUAUGUUCUUAACGGAAGUUGAAGCAAUAUUUUGCAAACAUGCUGAAGAAAAGCACGCAUAUGACAUGACAAUAGACUAUGUAGUAGAAAAUUCCAUAUUAUCAUUUCCCUGUCAUGAGCACAAGGUGGAUGUUAUGUCGAAAGUGCUUCAUUAUUAUGUUGGAGUCAGGAUGAGGCAGUACUGUAAGCAACUGCGGAAGGUUGAAGCAGACAAGACGCAGAAGCUACGAAAGCUUUCGAAGCUUGUCUAGUGUGUUGUGGCUUUUAUCCUGUCAAUGCAUGUUGUGCUGGUACAGAUGAUGCACUGUCGAAUGAAUAAAGUGUUUUUUUUUUCUUUUU